GACGGGGGAUGCAAGCGUUAUCCGGAAUGAUUGGGCGUAAAGCGUCUGCAGGUGGCAGUUCAAGUCUGCUGUCAAAGACCGGGGCUUAACUUCGGAAAGGCAGUGGAAACUGAACAGCUAGAGUAUGGUAGGGGCAGAGGGAAUUCCUGGUGUAGCGGUGAAAUGCGUAGAGAUCAGGAAGAACAUCGGUGGCGAAGGCGCUCUGCUGGACCAUAACUGACACUCAGGGACGAAAGCUAGGGGAGCGAAUGGG
RNAcentral lists this ribosomal RNA (253 nucleotides) under uncultured bacterium. Its description in RNAcentral is "partial 16S ribosomal RNA". It matches the Rfam family "Bacterial small subunit ribosomal RNA", at positions 524 to 776 of the family's 1533-position model. The record is from RNAcentral.